AUUGAACGCUGGCGGCAGGCCUAACACAUGCAAGUCGAGCGCGAAAGUUCUUCGGAAUGAGUAGAGCGGCGGACGGGUGAGUAACGCGUGGGAAUCUGCCCAGUAGUGGGGGAUAACGUU
Molecule: ribosomal RNA, 120 nt
Filed under: uncultured bacterium
Lineage: Bacteria
Description: partial 16S ribosomal RNA
Rfam family: Bacterial small subunit ribosomal RNA
Source: RNAcentral